UACGGGGGGGCGAGCGUUAUUCGGAAUUAUUGGGCGUAAAGGGCGCGUAGGCGGCUUCGCAAGUCAAAGGUGAAAUCCCUCGGCUCAACCGAGGAACUGCCCUUGAAACUGCAUGGCUUGAGGCCGGGAGGGGCCAGUGGAAUUCCCAGUGUAGCGGUGAAAUGCGUAGAUAUUGGGAGGAACACCAGUGGCGAAGGCGGCUGGCUGGACCGGUUCUGACGCUGAUGCGCGAAAGCGUGGGGAGCAAACAGG
RNAcentral lists this unclassified non-coding RNA (252 nucleotides) under uncultured Acidobacteriota bacterium. RNAcentral describes it as "uncultured Acidobacteria bacterium contains 16S-23S intergenic spacer region". It matches the Rfam family "Bacterial small subunit ribosomal RNA", at positions 524 to 776 of the family's 1533-position model. The record is from RNAcentral. Lineage: Bacteria; Pseudomonadati; Acidobacteriota.